CCACGUCUCCAUAACUUUUGGGCU
This 24-nucleotide non-coding RNA is filed under the name Arabidopsis thaliana (thale cress). Lineage: Eukaryota; Viridiplantae; Streptophyta; Magnoliopsida; Brassicales; Brassicaceae. The record is from RNAcentral.